RNAcentral lists this ribosomal RNA (492 nucleotides) under uncultured bacterium. RNAcentral describes it as "partial 16S ribosomal RNA". It matches the Rfam family "Bacterial small subunit ribosomal RNA", at positions 29 to 507 of the family's 1533-position model. The record is from RNAcentral.
AGUGAACGCUGGCGGUAGGCCUAACACAUGCAAGUCGAACGGCAGCACAGUAAGAGCUUGCUCUUACGGGUGGCGAGUGGCGGACGGGUGAGGAAUACAUCGGAAUCUACUUUUUCGUAGGGGAUAACGUAGGGAAACUUACGCUAAUACCGCAUACGACCUACGGGUGAAAGCAGGGGAUCUUCGGACCUUGCGCGAUUGAAUGAGCCGAUGUCGGAUUAGCUAGUUGGCGGGGUAAAGGCCCACCAAGGCGACGAUCCGUAGCUGGUCUGAGAGGAUGAUCAGCCACACUGGAACUGAGACACGGUCCAGACUCCUACGGGAGGCAGCAGUGGGGAAUAUUGGACAAUGGGCGCAAGCCUGAUCCAGCCAUACCGCGUGGGUGAAGAAGGCCUUCGGGUUGUAAAGCCCUUUUGUUGGGAAAGAAAAGCAGCAGGUUAAUACCCCGCUGUUCUGACGGUACCCAAAGAAUAAGCACCGACUAACUUCGUG